Molecule: ribosomal RNA, 253 nt
Filed under: uncultured bacterium
Lineage: Bacteria
Description: partial 16S ribosomal RNA
Rfam family: Bacterial small subunit ribosomal RNA
Source: RNAcentral
UACGUAGGGCGCAAGCGUUGUCCGGAAUUAUUGGGCGUAAAGAGCUCGUAGGCGGCCUGUUGCGUCCGCUGUGAAAUCCCGGGGCUCAACCCCGGGCGUGCAGUGGAUACGGGCUGGCUGGAGGCAGGCAGGGGGGAACGGAAUUCCUGGUGUAGCGGUGAAAUGCGCAGAUAUCAGGAGGAACACCGGUGGCGAAGGCGGUUCUCUGGGCCUGUACUGACGCUGAGGAGCGAAAGCGUGGGGAGCGAACAGG